Molecule: ribosomal RNA, 167 nt
Filed under: uncultured bacterium
Lineage: Bacteria
Description: partial 16S ribosomal RNA
Rfam family: Bacterial small subunit ribosomal RNA
Source: RNAcentral
CAAUAGGGAAUCUUCCACAAUGGGCGAAAGCCUGAUGGAGCAACGCCGCGUGUGUGAUGAAGGGUUUCGGCUCGUAAAACACUGUUGUAAGAGAAGAAUGACAUUGAGAGUAACUGUUCAAUGUGUGACGGUAUCUUACCAGAAAGGAACGGCUAAAUACGNGCCAG